RNAcentral lists this ribosomal RNA (253 nucleotides) under uncultured bacterium. Its description in RNAcentral is "partial 16S ribosomal RNA". It matches the Rfam family "Bacterial small subunit ribosomal RNA", at positions 524 to 776 of the family's 1533-position model. The record is from RNAcentral.
UACGGAAGGUCCGGGCGUUAUCCGGAUUUAUUGGGUUUAAAGGGAGCGUAGGCCGGGGAUUAAGUGUGUUGUGAAAUGUAGGCGCUCAACGUCUGAUGUGCAGCGCAUACUGGUUCCCUUGAGUACGCGCAACGCCGGCGGAAUUCGUCGUGUAGCGGUGAAAUGCUUAGAUAUGACGAAGAACCCCGAUUGCGAAGGCAGCCGGCGGGAGCGCAACUGACGCUGAAGCUCGAAGGUGCGGGUAUCGAACAGG